GAUGAACGCUGGCGGCGUGCCUAAUACAUGCAAGUCGAGCGAACGGACGAGAAGGUUGCUUCUAUUAUGUUAGCGGCGGACGGGUGAGUAACACGUGGAUAACCUCCCUAGAAGAAUGGGAUAAAUUCGGGACAACGGAGCUAAUACCGGAUCAUCUUUUAAACCGCAUGGUUCAAAAGUGAAAGACGGUCUUGCUGUCACUUGUAGAUGGAUCCGCGCUGCAUUAGCUAGUUGGGAAGGUAACGGCUUACCAAGGCAACGAUGCAUAGCCGACCUGAGAGGGUGAUCGGCCACACGGGAACUGAGACACGGUCCAUACGCCUACGGGAGGCAGCAGUAGGGAAUCGGCCGCAAUGGGCGAAAGCCUGACGGAGCAACGCCGCGUGAGUCAUGAAGGUCUUCGGAUCGGAAAACUCUGUUAUGAGUGAAGAACAUAUGUGUAAGUAACUGUGCACAUCGUGACGGUACCUAAUCAGAAAGCCACGGCUAACUACGUG
Molecule: ribosomal RNA, 497 nt
Filed under: uncultured bacterium
Lineage: Bacteria
Description: partial 16S ribosomal RNA
Rfam family: Bacterial small subunit ribosomal RNA
Source: RNAcentral